UACGUAGGUGGCAAGCGUUGUCCGGAUUUACUGGGCGUAAAGAGCGCGCAGGCGGUCGUUCAAGUCGCGUGUGAAAGCCCCCGGCUCAACUGGGGAGGGUCACGCGAUACUGAUCGACUCGAAGGCAGGAGAGGGAAGUGGAAUUCCCGGUGUAGUGGUGAAAUGCGCAGAUAUCGGGAAGAACACCCGUGGCGAAGGCGGCUCUCUAGAACGGUACUGACGCUGAGACGCGAAAGCGUGGGGAGCGAACAGG
This 253-nucleotide ribosomal RNA is filed under the name uncultured bacterium. RNAcentral's name for it is "partial 16S ribosomal RNA". It matches the Rfam family "Bacterial small subunit ribosomal RNA", at positions 524 to 776 of the family's 1533-position model. The record is from RNAcentral.